GUACUAAGUGUGGGUUUCCUUCCUUGGGAUCCGUGCCGUAGCUAACGCAUUAAGUACCCCGCCUGGGGAGUACGGCCGCAAGGCUAAGACUCAAAGAAAUUGACGGGGGCCCGCACAAGCGGCGGAGCAUGUGGAUUAAUUCGAUGCAACGCGAAGAACCUUACCUGGGUUUGACAUGCACAGGACGCCGGCAGAGAUGUCGGUUCCCUUGCGGCCUGUGUGCAGGUGGUGCAUGGCUGUCGUCAGCUCGUGUCGUGAGAUGUUGGGUUAAGUCCCGCAACGAGCGCAACCCUUGUCUCAUGUUGCCAGCGGGUAAUGCCGGGGACUCGUGAGAGACUGCCGGGGUCAACUCGGAGGAAGGUGGGGAUGACGUCAAGUCAUCAUGCCCCUUAUGUCCAGGGCUUCACACAUGCUACAAUGGCCGGUACAAAGGGCUGCGAUGCCGCGAGGUUAAGCGAAUCCUUUUAAAGCCGGUCUCAGUUCGGAUCGGGGUCUGCAACUCGACCCGUGAAGUCGGAGUC
This 521-nucleotide ribosomal RNA is filed under the name uncultured bacterium. RNAcentral describes it as "bacterial SSU rRNA". It matches the Rfam family "Bacterial small subunit ribosomal RNA", at positions 813 to 1333 of the family's 1533-position model. The record is from RNAcentral.